AUACUAGCUCGAUUAUCAGCCACUAAGUCAGGAGCAUACUUGGCCAACUGAUUGAACUUUAGAUAGUACUCCCUAACAGUCAUAGAGCCCUAUCGCAGGUUCAUAAACUCUUCCACCUUUGCCUCCCUCAUCUCCAAAGGGAAAAACUUAUCUAGGAAUGCAUCCUGGAACUCUUGCCAAGUUGUAGGGACAGUUCCCUUACCUCUACCUUUCCUCCAAGCAACAACCCAGUCAUAAGCAAGGU
Molecule: long non-coding RNA, 244 nt
Filed under: Capsicum annuum
Lineage: Eukaryota; Viridiplantae; Streptophyta; Magnoliopsida; Solanales; Solanaceae
Description: long non-coding RNA (CANN_LNC015870)
Source: RNAcentral